GGUCUAAUACCGGAUACGACGCGCUCAGGCAUCUGAUGCGCGUGGAAAGCUCCGGCGGUGCAGGAUGAGCCCGCGGCCUAUCAGCUUGUUGGUGAGGUAACGGCUCACCAAGGCGACGACGGGUAGCCGGCCUGAGAGGGCGACCGGCCACACUGGGACUGAGACACGGCCCAGACUCCUACGGGAGGCAGCAGUGGGGAAUAUUGCACAAUGGGCGAAAGCCUGAUGCAGCGACGCCGCGUGAGGGAUGACGGCCUUCGGGUUGUAAACCUCUUUCAGCAGGGAAGAAGCGAAAGUGACGGUACCUGCAGAAGAAGCGCCGGCUAACUACGUGCCAGCAGCCGCGGUAAUACGUAGGGCGCGAGCGUUGUCCGGAAUUAUUGGGCGUAAAGAGCUCGUAGGCGGCUUGUCGCGUCGGUUGUGAAAGCCCGGGGCUUAACCCCGGGUCUGCAGUCGAUACGGGCAGGCUAGAGUUCGGUAGGGGAGAUCGGAAUUCCUGGUGUAGCGGUGAAAUGCGCAGAUAUCAGGAGGAACACCGGU
This 540-nucleotide ribosomal RNA is filed under the name Streptomyces calvus. Its description in RNAcentral is "bacterial SSU rRNA". It matches the Rfam family "Bacterial small subunit ribosomal RNA", at positions 160 to 713 of the family's 1533-position model. Lineage: Bacteria; Bacillati; Actinomycetota; Actinomycetes; Kitasatosporales; Streptomycetaceae. The record is from RNAcentral.